Molecule: non-coding RNA, 104 nt
Organism: Poronia punctata
Lineage: Eukaryota; Fungi; Ascomycota; Sordariomycetes; Xylariales; Xylariaceae
Source: the annotation of a GenBank genome assembly
GGUCCCAUAGCUCAGUUGGUUAGAGCGUCGUACUAAUAUUAUAAAAACAACAAGUUGUAAUCUUGGUAAUGCGAAGGCCGUGAGUUCGAGCCUCACUGGGACCA